Molecule: ribosomal RNA, 293 nt
Filed under: uncultured bacterium
Lineage: Bacteria
Description: partial 16S ribosomal RNA
Rfam family: Archaeal small subunit ribosomal RNA
Source: RNAcentral
GUGCCAGCCGCCGCGGUAAUACCGGCAGCUCGAGUGAUGGCCCAUCUUAUUGGGCCUAAAGCGUCCGUAGCUGGCCGCGCAAGUCCGUCGGGAAAUCCAUCAGCCCAACUGGUGGGCGUCCGGCGGAAACUGCACGGCUUGGGACCGGAAGGCUCGAGAGGUACGUCCGGGGUAGGAGUGAAAUCCCAUAAUCCCGCACGGACCACCGAUGGCGAAAGCACUUCGAGAAAACGGAUCCGACAGUGAGGGACGAAAGCCAGGGUCUCCAACCGGAUUAGAAACCCCGGUAGUCC